Long non-coding RNA from Mus musculus (house mouse), 3923 nucleotides. RefSeq annotates it as predicted gene, 35065. The record is from RefSeq and is a predicted model, not a curated record. The transcript has 4 exons. NCBI's taxonomy places the organism in Eukaryota, Metazoa, Chordata, Mammalia, Rodentia, Muridae.
GACUCUCCUGCCCCGCAGCGGCGUGGAAUCGUCGGGGGCGUGUGCCCGGUGCUGAGGACCUGCGGGCGCUGGGCAGCGGGGAUCCGCAGCGGGAGCGGGAAGCGCGGGGUCCUGGGUGGCCGCCGCGAGCUGGGAAGCUGUCUGGUCCCGCUUGGGUGAUUUGUGAUGGCUCAGGAAGAGGUUGUCUUGACCUUCAGACUGGAUUUCUUGGACCCCAGUCUCCUCAUCUCCCUCCAUUUUACAACCAUGGAUGCCAUACUUCCUAAAAAAUCUAUACAACCAACCACCACACAUCUCGUAUGCAUCUUGCAGACAGGGAAAUAAUGAGAAAGGAGUAAGUUAACCUGUGAGAAUACUGCUCAAUGAAUAAAGUGUUUAAAACACUCCCACAAGCCCGAGGAUGUGGGUUUGCAUCCCUAGGUGACAGGGCAGUGCCCAUCAGAAAUCCAUAGGCCAAUGGAUGGUGAAGACAGGAAAAUCCCUAGAAGCUUCUGGGCCAGCUAGUCUGCGGUAAGCAGGGGAAAACAAGAGACCAUGUCUCAAACAAAAUGGAAGGACCCUAGUCUCCUCUUCUGCCUCUAUUUUAUAACCAUAGAUCCUACACUUCCUAAAAAUCUAGACUGUCCUCCUAUAGGCUAUAGUAUACAUCUUCAAUACUACACACACACACACACACAUACACACACACAUACUACACCACAAACACACACAAACAUUACAUACCACACAAACACACACAAACAUUACAUACCACACACCACACACCACAUACAUACACAUAUGCACACACACAUGUGCAGCAUACACACCUACACACACCACAUGCAGGCACACACAUGAAUACAGACAUCACAUACACACAUGGCAUAUCUCAUACACACACCCAUGCAAAUGCAUACAUGAAUACACAUAUCACAUACCACAUACAUACACGUGCACACACACAUACAGGCACACAGAUGAAUACACACACCAUACACCACAUAUGUACAUACACACACAUGCACACAGCAUGCCUGUAGAGACAAUGAGUUAAGAGGAUUGUUGGAACUGGGCUCCAGAGAACAAAGCCUUGGGCAUCAGGCCUGUCUUCCAGCUUCCUGGUCCAGAGAGGAACUAAAGCUUUUCCGUGGCUUCCUUAAAUUUAUAAAACGGAUGCACAGAGUGGAAUUACCCAUGGGGGGGGGACCCCACAUCUGGAUUUCAUAGCUUCAGUUUUUAAACAUACCUUUCUGAGAAAGUAAAAUGGCAUUUGUGUAAUUGGAGCAUGAACUGAGGGCCUCAACUUGGGUUCUGCCCUCUGUGUUACAGGCAGAGUCUGAUUUAACACAGGUCUGUGUGCAUCAUUCUCUCCCCAGCUGAUGGUCUCCCUCCCUCUUUUGUUGUCCACCCUUGUUACCACAGACGCGCACGCAUAACUGUAACUGGGAUUUCCAAAUCCCAAACGAAUUCCUGAAAUGCAUCUCCACCAGGCCAGACCCUACCUGCAUCUUCCGUAGAUUCCCGUCACCCUCAGUCUCAGGUAUGAAAGCUGGAGAGGAGAGCGUGCAGCAACCCUGUCUGGAACCUCAAAACAUAUGCUCUCUCUGCCUUCCCUUCUCCUCAGCAGCAACAAAGGAAACGCACACGUCCUCUUGCAGGUACUCUGAACCACAUACUUGAGAGGCCACCGCAGGCCCCCAGAAUCGUCCUUUGUCGCUCUCAAUCCCAUCAAGUAAACACAUUGAUUUGUGGCCAAAGAGUUCAAUUGCUUAGUUUCAAAGGCUACUGCGAUCGAGAACCAGGAUGGUAAUAGGAAGACUGGGGAACUCGAGGGAACUGAAGGGAAGAAUCUCUGCGCGAGCAGAGGCGGUGGGCAGUGUCAAGGACGGCAGAGCGCACCCACAGCCAUGGCUCUCGGGUUCCACGGUAACCCAUCUGUAAACAUCUGGCCUUGCGGUGCUUUAUGAAGCAUUUUACUUCAUGUGUUGCUAGGCUGGCUCUGUAUAGUUUGAUUUGGAAAUGAGUAUAUUAUUUUUACAGAGUUACGAAAGUGAAUGUAUAAAAUAGCCUCCGAGUAAGGGCCAUUUAAGAUUUAAAUAGAGCCUGGAUUUUAAAAAGCUAACAGCUUUCAAACAGAUGGUGUGAAAGUGGUGUUGACUUUUACAGUCCCAAGUGCAGAAAACCAGUGGGAAUUACUCAUCCAUACUACUGAAAAAGAGGAAAAAAAAAAAUCAAUAUCAGGGCCUGCCUUGGGGUUCUGGGAGAUUUGAAAAUGAAAGGUAUUGUCAGGCUCGCGGGGUGGGGGUGAAUACAAUUACAUGGUAAUGUAAUGUUUAAUUAAAAACUAAAUAAUAAAUAAUGAAAUGAUCCAGAAUAUACUUGAUGAAUCACCAAAAGGUUGAUAGUAUGGUUUUGGCAGAGGGGCCCUGUUGUCAGAAAGUGUCCUGUAAUGGAGGUCUAUGCCUCUUUCAUAAAGUAGUAGUUGCUGUCUUCUUUGCUCACCCUAAGCCACAAUGCCGUGGAAGAUCAAAGCCUGCCACGGCAGUGCUCUUGGACUGCUGACUUGCUCUGCUGGAUUCAUUGAGUUCAUGACGCACCCCGGUCAUUCAUUCUCUGUUCUCCUGUUAAGAUUGAUUUUUAUAACGCAGAACGGAUUUUCAAGUUUGAAUUUACAUUUUUUAAAAUUCAUUGGCAUUUGGUAUAAUUCCUACCCAGACACUGAUUCUACACGCUCUUAUUUACAGCCACCCAAAUUGUAUGUACAAAAAGGUAAGGAAAAAUGGUUCCUUUCGCCUUGGACGUCAACCUGGGCUCAAUCUGGCCGAAGCCAUGAAUACCAGGAAUCCAAAGGCUCCCUGACUGUAGAAAGGGCACAGCUGGGGCACGUACAAGAUAACUCUGCAAAGGGUAUUUGGGGUGAUUCAUAUCCUUUCCUUUGAACAGUUUUGUUGAUGCAGUCUGUUGAAACGCUCAGGGUUUCAUAUAAAUGUUUUGCCUCAGGAGUUUGCCUAAGGACAAUGAGCCGUUUCAAAUCUCCCCGCCCUCCAGUUUCAAGUAAGAGGACCAUUUAUGAACAGGUAAAGAGGUGGCAGGGGAGAAAGUAGAACCCAGACCUCUAGCUGGUGGCCUGGAUUUUACAGGGCUCAGCAUUGAAAGGCGCACAGAGUACUAGCGACCAAUCACAUAAAGAAUCCUUUCCAAAACUUCCUUCCAGAAGGACCUCUACCUAUUUCCUGAAACAUGAGCAUGGGGAAAUCCCUACUUGGAAGUGAGCUCACUCUCUCCCGGAAGUGUGCAGUGUCUGAAAAGUAUUCACUUCUGCGGAGCCAGGAGUCACCUCCAGGCGGAAGCCGAUUUUAUCUUGCCGUGAUUCUGCCUGCACUCUCAUACUCUUGUGUGGGUGGAGAUUAGGAUGUCGAAGACGUCCGAGGAUGCUAGUGGCUCCUCUGCCACCGUUCUUCUCCCAUACGCAAGGACUGGUUUCAGGAAGAUGCAGAAACAGCCAUUUGUCACACUUCGGUCCCAGGAGAGGAGUUAAUGUUUGAGGAAUAAAUCAGUCGGUGUGAUUUCCUGCGUGUAAUUCUUUCUGUUCAUCUUUGAAGUCUUCAAAACCAUAAAGCUGAGAUUAGGAACCGGUUGAAGAGAGAGGAAGGAAGAGAAAGAAGUCCUGAGUUGUCUGGCCUGCUUGUUUUCCUGAAGUAGGAAACCACUUUGGAGAUCACCCAGAUAAAUCUGAUGAAGAUCACAAGCCAGGAAUAGAGUGUGAAAGCAUCUAUAACAUGUCACCAUAUAGUAGCCUCCAUUUGGCUCCAGACGGUACAAUGAUAUUUCCCCCUAAAGGACUGAGUGGAUGCACUCUUAAUUGGAAGCAAGCUCCUUAAGAAUCUCACGUAGGGGCUGGACAGAUGGCUCGAUGGUUAAGAGAACUGACUGCUCUUCCA